This is a long non-coding RNA of Hyaena hyaena (striped hyena), 506 nucleotides long. RefSeq lists it as uncharacterized. The record is from RefSeq and is a predicted model, not a curated record. Lineage: Eukaryota; Metazoa; Chordata; Mammalia; Carnivora; Hyaenidae. The transcript is spliced from 3 exons.
AAAGGAAGAAAAAUAAAAAAUUGGGAAAAAUUAUCCACAAAAUUGCCAAAAAAGACAUCACAGAGCAAGAGGGUCUACUUUAUAUGAGAACAAGUCUGGAUUGAGCAGAGGUAACAAGACGCAGAGUUCAGUCUGUCUUUACCACUUAAUCUCCAUGUGAAUGCAGUGGGCUGUUGUUUCAAACACCAGAGCAAAUCCAUAAACGAGAACUUCACCUGUUUGACCUACACAGCUGAUUUUAACAUUGGCUCUUCGUGUACUGGGCAUAUUGCCCUGGAUGAACUGGAAAAUAUCCCAGUGGAGAAGAAGGUCAGAAGUCUUCUGGAGGUUCCUUUCAAUCUAAGAUUACCUUUUUUGUCCUUCAAGGUCAAAGUAAAUCACGUUGACCAAAUGACAAAAUAUGCAAUAACAAUGGUAUUUUCUAAUGGUAAACAUUUUCUAAUGGAAAGACUAUCCUGUACCUCAUCCAGGACCAUACUCAUAAAACUACCAUCACACUCCUGAAA